This 400-nucleotide ribosomal RNA is filed under the name uncultured bacterium. RNAcentral describes it as "bacterial SSU rRNA". It matches the Rfam family "Bacterial small subunit ribosomal RNA", at positions 356 to 773 of the family's 1533-position model. The record is from RNAcentral.
GGGGAAUAUUGGACAAUGGGGGAAACCCUGAUCCAGCCAUGCCGCGUGAGUGAUGAAGGCCUUAGGGUUGUAAAGCUCUUUCAGUAGGGAAGAUAAUGACGGUACCUACAGAAGAAGCCCCGGCUAACUUCGUGCCAGCAGCCGCGGUAAUACGAAGGGGGCUAGCGUUGUUCGGAUUUACUGGGCGUAAAGCGCACGUAGGCGGAUUGUUAAGUCAGGGGUGAAAUCCCAGAGCUCAACUCUGGAACUGCCUUUGAUACUGGCAAUCUCGAGUCCGGAAGAGGUGAGUGGAACUCCUAGUGUAGAGGUGGAAUUCGUAGAUAUUAGGAAGAACACCAGUGGCGAAGGCGGCUCACUGGUCCGGUACUGACGCUGAGGUGCGAAAGCGUGGGGAGCAAAC